UACGAAGGGGGCUAGCGUUGCUCGGAAUCACUGGGCGUAAAGGGCGCGUAGGCGGCCAUUCAAGUCGGGGGUGAAAGCCUGUGGCUCAACCACAGAAUUGCCUUCGAUACUGUUUGGCUUGAGUUUGGUAGAGGUUGGUGGAACUGCGAGUGUAGAGGUGAAAUUCGUAGAUAUUCGCAAGGACACCAGUGGCGAAGGCGGCCAACUGGACCAAUACUGACGCUGAGGCGCGAAAGCGUGGGGAGCAAACAGGAUUAGAUACCCUUGUAGUCC
RNAcentral lists this ribosomal RNA (273 nucleotides) under uncultured Methylobacterium sp. RNAcentral's name for it is "partial 16S ribosomal RNA". It matches the Rfam family "Bacterial small subunit ribosomal RNA", at positions 524 to 796 of the family's 1533-position model. The record is from RNAcentral. Lineage: Bacteria; Pseudomonadati; Pseudomonadota; Alphaproteobacteria; Hyphomicrobiales; Methylobacteriaceae.